This 1799-nucleotide small RNA is filed under the name Rattus norvegicus (Norway rat). Its description in RNAcentral is "uncharacterized LOC102550246". The record is from RNAcentral. Lineage: Eukaryota; Metazoa; Chordata; Mammalia; Rodentia; Muridae.
UUGGGAGGCUUCACUACCGUGCCUCUGAGUGGCUGCGGCGACUUCCCCUCCCCCUGCGCUGUGGCGGGGCACGCGCCUGGGCGCGCACCCGGUCUCGCUGCGUCUUGCACUCUCCUGGGACUUGCUUCUCUUUUCUGCAAGCUGGGACUUGCUGCCCUAGUCCCCGAGGGCUCGCAGCCGGAACUCGAACACGCCGCAACCAACUCAGGCAAGCCAGCUUACAGGAUCAGACAUUCCUCCCAGCCUGGGCCAGGUGACCACCCCAGAGCGGCGGGGCAAGCCGAGGGGAAACUUGCAAUUGGGUCGCCAAGGGUUCAUUUCAGGUCACUUGGUCAUCCUCCUGCCUCCAGGCGAACACCCCAAGCCUUGUAAAGCUAAGGACUUGUAAAGAUCACAGCCUCCUUUCAGAGCAAAGGUCACUAACACCCAGAGAUCCAUCCAGUCAAAGAACGACACAUAUUCAUCCCAUUCGCUUCAGAUGCCAGACCAGCUGAGUGACCAGGACCGACCCCCGUCCAUGUCCCCAUAGGUGUGUGUUUGGGACAGAGGUGGAAAGACACACUGCGAACCCCAAUGGACUUUCACAGGUGCCCUAAUUUCCUGAAUGGUCUGGGGAGGUGGGUGUCACAUGCCCUCUCAACGCAAAAAGGAAGUUGGGCCCAACAGAUAUAAGUAACUCGUUCAGGUUGCUCCCUGUUGGGUCUGAGCUGGAGUCAGAGGGGAGCAACGACGACGACGACGACGACAACAACAACAACAACAACUCAAAAUAGAAGAAAAACAACCCCUUCAACAAACAACCAAACAAAAACCUGCCAGGCAAUUCCAAAAGGGACUGUCAGAUCCAGGGGUCUGGUCUAGGAUAAGGAAUGGCCCUGUUUCUACUUGGUCUACUGUCAGGACGUGGAUUUUGCGGGCCUGGUGUCUGUGAGCUUAAGGCUUCCUCCAGCAUCAGCUUUCCAGAGAUGAGCUGUAACUGUCUCUAUCCAGCCCCCUCCCCACACCUCAGUUCCUAGGAAGACAGGGAUGGAGGAGCACUAGGGUAGGGAUGCACAGUUAAGUAGGCUGGUUCCAAUAAGAACACUGUAGUAUGAGAUAUGUGCUAUUUGUCCAUUCUGCUUUCUUGACACAGGAGGUACAGCGUCUGACUCUAGAGGGAAGUUUGAAAUUUUGCAGCCCAGCCUUGGGCGGAGGGCCCCAUACUUUUUUCAUUUCUCUGCUGACAACGUGAAAGGAGCCUUUGUGGGCUUGAUGGGAGAAGUGAGCAGAACUAACUUUUCCAUGACUCAGCCCUGCUGGGGCUGGGCACAGCUGGGGAGGUGCAAGAAACAACCCUCCUGUAGGGCCAGUUUUAACCUUGUGGCUGAGCUGCCUUCCAACUUUGCUGGUUUGCAAUUAAGGACAGUGAAAAGAGGUUGCUGGCCUUACGUAGGCUGUCUAGGGACUGGGGAGAUGUUUCUUGGUGGGUAACAGCACUUGCUGUGUGUGCCAACUUGACACAAACUGGAGUCAUCUGAGAGAAAGAGAAUUUAAUGGAGAAAUCAUCUCCGUAGUAUCAGGCUGUAGGCUGAUUGAUGUGGGAGGGUCCAGCUCCUUGUGGGUGGUGCCAUCCCUGGGCUGGUGGUCUUGGAUGCUAUAAGAUAGCAGGCUGAGCAAGCCAUAGAGAGCAAGCCAGUACUAAGUAGCCCCACUCCACGGACUCUGUAUCAGCUCCUGCCUCUAGGGUCCUGUCCUAACUUCCUUUGAUGAUAGUCUAUGAUGUAGAAGUAGACGUGAAAUAAACCCUUUCUUCUCCAAGU